Molecule: ribosomal RNA, 546 nt
Filed under: Fusarium oxysporum f. sp. lycopersici
Lineage: Eukaryota; Fungi; Ascomycota; Sordariomycetes; Hypocreales; Nectriaceae
Description: eukaryotic LSU rRNA
Rfam family: 5.8S ribosomal RNA (bases 191-344)
Source: RNAcentral
CGUAACAAGGUCUCCGUUGGUGAACCAGCGGAGGGAUCAUUACCGAGUUUACAACUCCCAAACCCCUGUGAACAUACCACUUGUUGCCUCGGCGGAUCAGCCCGCUCCCGGUAAAACGGGACGGCCCGCCAGAGGACCCCUAAACUCUGUUUCUAUAUGUAACUUCUGAGUAAAACCAUAAAUAAAUCAAAACUUUCAACAACGGAUCUCUUGGUUCUGGCAUCGAUGAAGAACGCAGCAAAAUGCGAUAAGUAAUGUGAAUUGCAGAAUUCAGUGAAUCAUCGAAUCUUUGAACGCACAUUGCGCCUGCCAGUAUUCUGGCGGGCAUGCCUGUUCGAGCGUCAUUUCAACCCUCAAGCACAGCUUGGUGUUGGGACUCGCGUUAAUUCGCGUUCCCCAAAUUGAUUGGCGGUCACGUCGAGCUUCCAUAGCGUAGUAGUAAAACCCUCGUUACUGGUAAUCGUCGCGGCCACGCCGUUAAACCCCAACUUCUGAAUGUUGACCUCGGAUCAGGUAGGAAUACCCGCUGAACUUAUGCAUAUCAAU